RNAcentral lists this long non-coding RNA (1240 nucleotides) under Ovis aries (sheep). RNAcentral describes it as "lncRNA (ENSOARG00000026082.1)". Lineage: Eukaryota; Metazoa; Chordata; Mammalia; Artiodactyla; Bovidae. The record is from RNAcentral.
AUGCCGUCAGCGCACGGCAUGCCCUGCACUGCAUCCAUAGCCCAUAGAAAAGAAAGGAAACACUCGACCCAAAAGAAGGGCAGGAGGGCUAAAUCAGCAGAAAUAGCCCUGGGACAGCGCGUGCGGGCCGCAGGCAGACCUUCCAGAACGAGGGCGGCUUUCCAGCCUUGUUCUCUUGGCCAACCGCCGCUCCCCAAGGAUGUCCCCCCAGGUCUCCCUGAAGGGGGCCGUGCCCGCCAUAGGGUCUGUUCCACUGUGACCCACGCUCCCCCCAUGGGGCCCCAUCUAGUCCCACAGCUCCCCUUCCACCAGGUCAGCAGAGGGGCAGGUGACCAACAACUCACAUGUUCUGAGGAUAUCUUUGCUAGAACCUCAGGGCUGGGUGUGCCCACCACCUCCAUGAUACGCUUCAGCUGGUCGAUGUCUGCCUGGCUCAGGAAAGGUCCAAUGGCCAGGUAUGGACUCUCCUGGGAUCCCAGACCCCAGACCUUGGGUCACUGCGCAGACCCUGCUCUCCUGCCGCUGGGGACAGUGAGCCCACAGUGGCAUGGUGUGGGGCAGAGGAGGCAAGACUGGCCAGAAAGCGCCGGAGCCCACGUCCCUAGACCCCCACCCUGCAAUGGGAGGCCCAACCUUCCUCCCCAACCUGAACCAAGGAUACAGUCACUUCCGGGGAAGAGAGCCUUUCCCUGGAGCAGCUCCUUCAGCUGGUCCAGGUCUUGGCCAAGGUCAGGAACACAGAGUGGGCUAGAGACGGGGCUCGCCCACCCACCUGCUCCUGGCAGAUGUCCCCCCAGGUGCAGGGUAAGCCCCUCAAACCCAGCCCCAGGUGCAGGGUAAGCCCCAGUCCGCCCCUCGGUGUAGGAUACGGUCGUUGCCUUUGAAGAGCGUCUUCCCUGUGAUCAUCUCAGCCAUGAUGCAGCCCACGGACCAGAUGUCCACUGAAGCAGAAGGUGUCGCCAUCAGUCUGCCCACCCCAAGUCCCGCCCCAGAGAGCUGGGGGCUGGGCCCACAGCCCCACCCACACAUCCAGGCCCCUUCCUGACGGCGCCCUGGGCAGGGCAAGGGGCAGCCCAGGAGCUGCGGUGCCCUGCCUCUCUGAAGAUCUGGUCCUGAGCACCUGGCCUGUCCCCAAGGCCCCUGGCCUCCGGGCCCGCCCACCCCCGCAGGCCGCGCCCCGCGGGGCUGCCGUCACCUGUCUGGCUGUAGUGCAUCCAGUUUAGCAUGAUCUCGGGGGCCC